Molecule: ribosomal RNA, 253 nt
Filed under: uncultured bacterium
Lineage: Bacteria
Description: partial 16S ribosomal RNA
Rfam family: Bacterial small subunit ribosomal RNA
Source: RNAcentral
UACGGAGGAUGCGAGCGUUAUCCGGAUUUAUUGGGUUUAAAGGGUGAGUAGGCGGCAUGGUAAGCCAGAUGUGAAAGCCUUGGGCUUAACCCGAGGAUUGCAUUUGGAACUAUCAAGCUAGAGUACAGGAGAGGAAAGCGGAAUUCCUAGUGUAGCGGUGAAAUGCGUAGAUAUUAGGAAGAACACCAGUGGCGAAGGCGGCUUUCUGGACUGAAACUGACGCUGAGGCACGAAAGCGUGGGGAGCGAACAGG